AAAGGUUUGGUCCUAGCCUUACUGUUAAUUGUAAUUAAACCUACACAUGCAAGUUUCCGCUGUCCAGUGAGAAUGCCCUAAAAAUUAGCAACAAUUACCAGGAGCAGGUAUCAGGCACGCUACAGGCAGCCCAUUACACCUUGCUCAACCACACCCCCACGGGACACAGCAGUGACAAAAAUUAAGCAAUAAACGAAAGUUUGACUAAAUUAUAAUUAAUUAGGGGUGGUAAAUUUCGUGCCAGCCACCGCGGCCAUACGAUUAGCCCAAAUAAACAGAAAAACGGCGUAAAGCGUGUUUAAGCACCACCAAAAAAAAAUAAAGUUAAUAUUAUUAUCUAAACUGUAAUACGCUCUAGUAAAUAUUAAAAUAAAUAACCAAAGUGACUUUAAUAAAGCUGAAAACACGACAGCCAAGACACAAACUGGGAUUAGAUACCCCACUAUGCUUAGCCAUAAACCCAAAUAAUUUUCCAACAAAACUAUUCGCCAGAGAACUACUAGCAACCGCUUAAAACUCAAAGGACUUGGCGGUGCCUUAAGUCCAUCUAGAGGAGCCUGUUCUAUAACCGAUAAACCCCGAUAAACCUUACCUCUCCCUUGCCAAUACUAGCCUAUAUAUCCGCCAUUCGUCAGCUCACCCUUAACAAGGAUAUUAAAGUUAAGCUGAGAUCAAUCCUAUUCAUUAAAAACGUUAGGUCAAGGUGUAGCAUAUGGAGAGGAAAGUAAUGGGCUACAUUUUCUAUCCUAGAAUACAACGAAUAUGCCUAAUGAAAACCGAGGUAUUGAAGGAGGAUUUGAGCAGUAAAUUAAGAAUAGAGAGCUUAAUUGAAUUUGGCAAUAAGGCGCGCACACACCGCCCGUCACCCUCCUCAAUUUACUUAAAAAAAAUUACUAAUAAGAAUUAAUCAUCUAAGAGGAGAAAAGUCGUAACAUGGUAAGUGUACUGGAAAGUGUACUUGGAAUA
Molecule: non-coding RNA, 966 nt
Filed under: Pseudocheirus peregrinus (common ring-tailed possum)
Lineage: Eukaryota; Metazoa; Chordata; Mammalia; Diprotodontia; Pseudocheiridae
Description: 12S ribosomal RNA
Rfam family: Bacterial small subunit ribosomal RNA
Source: RNAcentral